This is a long non-coding RNA of Panicum virgatum (switchgrass), 352 nucleotides long. RefSeq lists it as uncharacterized. The record is from RefSeq and is a predicted model, not a curated record. The transcript is spliced from 2 exons. Lineage: Eukaryota; Viridiplantae; Streptophyta; Magnoliopsida; Poales; Poaceae.
CAGCCGCCGCCGUCUGCCUCCCCGUCCAGCGCCGCUCGUCCGUCUCCCCGUCCAGCACCGCGUGGUCACCGCCCCUCGUCAGCGCCGCUCGUCGGAUCCGCAGUUUCUGCUCCGCCGCCAAGUACUUCGUACUAUGCUUCCAUUGGCGUUCAUUAGAAGAUCGAUGUGUUGUUUAUUUCCGGAUCGACAUCAUGGAAGGCUAUCCUAUUUCUGUGAUGGAAUUACAUCUAUUUAUCUAAUAAUUGUGGGCUAUAAUUUGAAUAGUUGUGCAAUUUUUUUAUUUGUCACAAAAAUAUUGCUACAAAUCAUGUAAAUUAUUUUUUAAUAUUUCAUAUAAUUCUUGUUAAUGGUA